UUGGUUUUAGCUCAGAGGUAGAGCGUCCGAUGUCCAAUCGGAUGGUCGCGGGUUCGAUCCCUGCAAGCCAAUCCA
Molecule: transfer RNA, 75 nt
Filed under: Deinococcus cellulosilyticus
Lineage: Bacteria; Thermotogati; Deinococcota; Deinococci; Deinococcales; Deinococcaceae
Also listed under: 1 other name
Description: tRNA-Gly
Rfam family: tRNA
About the family: Transfer RNA (tRNA) molecules are approximately 80 nucleotides in length. Their secondary structure includes four short double-helical elements and three loops (D, anti-codon, and T loops). Further hydrogen bonds mediate the characteristic L-shaped molecular structure. tRNAs have two regions of fundamental functional importance: the anti-codon, which is responsible for specific mRNA codon recognition, and the 3' end, to which the tRNAs corresponding amino acid is attached (by aminoacyl-tRNA synthetases). tRNAs cope with the degeneracy of the genetic code in two manners: having more than one tRNA (with a specific anti-codon) for a particular amino acid; and 'wobble' base-pairing, i.e. permitting non-standard base-pairing at the 3rd anti-codon position.
Source: RNAcentral